CCGAUAGCGGAAUGGAAUACCACAACACUCCCUGGCUCUACCAUGAAACCGGGUCCUGAAGAGAUACCAACAAUCGCCAACCUGUAUCAAGCUUUCUUAUCAGUACUACGCAAUUAUUGGAAUUAUCGUGUGUGUCGUCACAGCAAUGAUCGUCAGCUACAUAACAGGUUUCCAGGAUCCCACUUUAAUCGAUGACAGAUUGAAGUACCAUUUCACAGACGCCCUCUUUUGCUGUUUCCCGGAAAGUUUGAAACAUGCGCGGUGGUUCCGAUAAGAUCAACGAUGAAGAGGAAUUGGAUGACGACGGAGAUUCGGCCGUUGUUCAGGAAGAAAUGGAGGAGCUCAUCUGCAAAGCAAAUCCUUCAGAUGUAAAAAAUGACACACAACACCAGGCAAAACACAUUGAGGAGACUAAUCAAUAAGUAAUAACGACGUCAUACUCUCGAAGACUGCGUUCGGCAAAGGAAUUUUCAACUUGUAAAAAUCAGAGGAUCGGUAAAGCGGCCAC
This 508-nucleotide long non-coding RNA is filed under the name Lytechinus variegatus (green sea urchin). Its description in RNAcentral is "uncharacterized LOC121416478". The record is from RNAcentral. Lineage: Eukaryota; Metazoa; Echinodermata; Echinoidea; Temnopleuroida; Toxopneustidae.